RNAcentral lists this transfer RNA (64 nucleotides) under Lichtheimia hongkongensis. RNAcentral describes it as "tRNA-Gly". The record is from RNAcentral. Lineage: Eukaryota; Fungi; Mucoromycota; Mucoromycetes; Mucorales; Lichtheimiaceae.
CAAUUAAAAGGUCAAUUUAAAGCAAAUCCUUUACUAGGAUUAAGUCUUGCAAUUUGUUUAUUCU